AUUGAACGCUGGCGGCAUGCUUUACACAUGCAAGUCGAACGGCAGCGCGGGGCAACCUGGCGGCGAGUGGCGAACGGGUGAGUAAUAUAUCGGAACGUACCCAGAAGUGGGGGAUAACGUAGCGAAAGUUACGCUAAUACCGCAUACGAUCUACGGAUGAAAGUAGGGGACCGCAAGGCCUUAUGCUUUUGGAGCGGCCGAUAUCUGAUUAGCUAGUUGGUGAGGUAAAGGCUCACCAAGGCGACGAUCAGUAGCUGGUCUGAGAGGACGACCAGCCACAAUGGACCGGAUCCACGCUCCAGCCUCCUACGGGAGGCCGCAGUGGGGAAUUUGGGACACAGGGCGCACGCCUGCUCCAGCAUUGCCGCGUGAGUGAAUAAGGCCUUCCGGUUGUCAAGCUCUUUUGUCAGGGAAGAAACAGUAGCGGCUAAUAUCCUUUGCUAAUGACGGUACCUUAAGAAUACGCACCUGCUAACUACGUG
This 482-nucleotide ribosomal RNA is filed under the name uncultured bacterium. RNAcentral describes it as "partial 16S ribosomal RNA". It matches the Rfam family "Bacterial small subunit ribosomal RNA", at positions 30 to 507 of the family's 1533-position model. The record is from RNAcentral.